AAGGGUGCGUAGGCUGACUUUUAAGUCAGGCGUGAAAUCCAAUGGCUUAACCAUUGAACUGCGCUUGAAACUGGGAGUCUAGAGUUCAGAAGGGGCAGAUGGAAUUAGUGGUGUAGGGGUAAAAUCCGUAGAUAUCACUAGGAAUAUCAAAAGCGAAGGCGAUCUGCUGGGAUGAUACUGACGCUGAGGCACGAAAGCGUGGGGAGCAAACAGGAUUAGAUACCCUGGUAGUCCACGCCCUAAACGAUGAAUGCUAGUCGUCGGGGAGCUCGUCUCUUCGGUGAUGCACUUAACAGAUUAAGCAUUCCGCCUGGGGAGUACGGUCGCAAGAUUAAACCUCAAAGGAAUAGACGGGGACCCGCACAAGUGGUGGAGCAUGUGGUUUAAUUCGAAGAUACACGAAGAACCUUACCUGGCCUUGACAUGGUAGGAACCCUUAAGAGAUUAGGGGGUGCUAGCUUGCUAGAACCUACACACAGGUGCUGCACGGCUGUCGUCAGCUCGUGUCGUGAGAUGUUGGGUUAAGUCCCGCAACGAGCGCAACCCUCGUCGUUAGUUGCUAACAGUUCGGCUGAGCACUCUAACGAGACUGCCUUCGUAAGGAGGAGGAAGGUGAGGACGACGUCAAGUCAUCAUGGCCCUUA
RNAcentral lists this ribosomal RNA (644 nucleotides) under uncultured bacterium. Its description in RNAcentral is "bacterial SSU rRNA". It matches the Rfam family "Bacterial small subunit ribosomal RNA", at positions 563 to 1204 of the family's 1533-position model. The record is from RNAcentral.